UGGCGGACGGGUGAGUAACGCGUGGGUAACCUGCCUCAUACAGGGGGAGUAACAGUUGGAAACGGCUGCUAAUACCGCAUAAGCGCACAGUACCGCAUGGUACGGUGUGAAAAACUCCGGUGGUAUGAGAUGGACCCGCGUCUGAUUAGGUAGUUGGUGGGGUAACGGCCUACCAAGCCGACGAUCAGUAGCCGACCUGAGAGGGUGACCGGCCACAUUGGGACUGAGACACGGCCCAAACUCCUACGGGAGGCAGCAUG
This 260-nucleotide ribosomal RNA is filed under the name uncultured bacterium. Its description in RNAcentral is "partial 16S ribosomal RNA". It matches the Rfam family "Bacterial small subunit ribosomal RNA", at positions 96 to 353 of the family's 1533-position model. The record is from RNAcentral.